RNAcentral lists this long non-coding RNA (2499 nucleotides) under Callithrix jacchus (white-tufted-ear marmoset). Its description in RNAcentral is "lncRNA (ENSCJAG00000081462.1)". Lineage: Eukaryota; Metazoa; Chordata; Mammalia; Primates; Cebidae. The record is from RNAcentral.
AGUGAAUCCCAAAACUCUGCUACAGAUGGACGCACACUUUUCCUACAUAGCUCCCAAAUCUGGUUUUGCUCCCAGAUACUCUGAUUUCUUUGUCGUGUUGACCCACUCAGGCAUCGGGACAUCACAACCCUCCAGCUGAUUCUAAUAUGCAGUGAGAACUGCCUGAUGCUUCCUUAACCUCCAUCUCUCCAGGAACAAGUGCAUAACAAUGGGAAGGGGGGACCAGGGAUUGGACGGAGCAAAACCCUCCUCCGCUGGUCAAGAAUUCCCUGCAUACUCCAGUUGCUGAGGACGAGAAAAGGGACGUUACAGUCUUCAAUAACUCGCUUUUUUACUCCCCUCAUCCCCAACACUUUCUGCUGAUCUAUUUGGGGGUCUUUGGGAGCACCUUCAAAGACGCUGGGAAAGCAAACAUUGGAGAGGGGGCUGCAGAUGUGCCCAUAUCCAUAGGUACAAAAGAGUCAAUCUACACUCUUCCAGCCCCAGGCCCAGCCCUGGACGGGGAUCCCGGUCACAUCCCGGCUCCACAGCUCAAGGUUCCCUCUGUCUUUCUGGGCCGGUUUGGACAAGACGCCUCCCAGCGAUUGCUUUGUAAACAGAAGCGCAAACCCGUUCCGAUAGUGGUUCUGCACCAGUGCUGGGCAGCCGCCCUGGCACAGCGGGCAGCUGAGACAGCUGCUGCACCUGUCACCUAGGGCCGGAAGGGCCAGGAGGUCGCUCUUGGAGUGGACCCACUGACCAAUGACGCGCUCCUCCAGCCUCCAGGGUGUUCUUAGGUACUGGGCCUCUGGGCUUCCCCGAUUGCUACGCACCUCCGGCCUGUACCCAGCGCUGUCAAUUGAAAACGUGCAUUCUGGAGAGCCACAGUGGGACCCCUAAUGCACACCCUUCCUUCUUCACCUUCUCCCUGGACACCUUUGCUAAGAGAUUUGGCUCAUUUCUUUUCCCGUAGUUGCUGGUAAUUCUACUGGUAAUUCCUUUGGUCUAAUCCAAUUCGAGAUUCAAGAGGGCUUCUGUGCCAUCGAGGAAUCGGUCUGAUUGAAGACCCAAAAUCCCAGGGUGGUAAGAUGCCACUCAACUUCCCUCAUCUUGUCGUUUGAGUAGCCCAACUUUCCUUCUUCCUGGCCCUGACCCUGAGGGCCAGUUUACUACUCCAAGGGGGACCAACAAGGAACUAGAGUUUGAGUUAGGUUUGCUCCGCCAAGGGCAGGGAAGACCAGCCACUGUAGGAGAUGGGGGAAGAGGAGAGACCGGCAGCAAGAGGCCACUCAACCUGCCCAGGGAUCUUCAGCUCCCCAGGGGGAGAGCAAAAAGCUGAGGUCAUCACCCCAGUGAACUCAUUGCUCAGACUUGGGUCCAGAUAUUCAAGUACCUUUAAGGAACGUUGGGCGAAAUCGCUGGGGGUAUAGUGCUUGAUGGUAAGUGAAGGGGUGGAGUGAAAACGUGGCUCAAACAGGGCUUAACCCUAAGGCAGUGGUUAUUCCCUCAGCAAUUUGGGGUUGAUGACGCCGGCAUUUCUGACACCACAGGCCUCAGAGAGCCUGAGCUCAGCAUUACCUGAAGCUGGGAGCUCUGCUAAACUAGACACUAGGUCAUCCCGCCCCUCCCCGAAGCUCAGACUUCCCGUACUGAGUGGCGCACAGAAAAGUUUUCAAUACGGCCCAGUGUCCCAGGCCUGUUAGCUACUGAACCUGCUUCGUGGUGGCAGCGCCAGAAGUGGCUGGGGAACUCCUGCAGUUCUCCGUCUCCCAUCCCAGGAGAUGUCUGGGAUCUCUGAUCUCUGACUCAAAGGAUCCCCGAGCCCGCACUUCCCGAGGCCUUUUGGGUGUUGAGGUGGAUGGCCAAGUGCAGUUAGUGGCCUCGGGUCUGCCCGCACUGGGCGCAGCUGGCUAUCCAGAAUGGCUGCCAGGAACCUGGAGAGCUGAGGAAGCUGGGAGGCAUUCCCCCUCCCCGCCAAUCGUGGCACCCCCGAAGGUGGCGCCGUCUCGCUGCUGCGGAGCUGCGGAGAAGGUCCGGGUGGGGAAAGGCUCUGAGCCAUGCAGCGGUGUUUGAGGAACGAAGGGAGGACGAAGAUCUGGCAGGACUGGGGUUCUGAGGAGGAAAUCGCAGAAGGUGCAGAUGACCAGUUCCCGGCAGCGGUGUGUCUAAGAAGGGGCAGUGGGGUUUACAUCAUCUUGAAUAGAACAGGUCUGGGCGCUGUGAACUCUUCUUGGACGGGGGCAGUGUAGACCGUCCUGGACAAGUUCUCCGCAGUGUUACUUGAUCGCGUAUUGUUGGCCCGGCGCUGUGCUAAGACUUUUGCUCACAUUCUCCUAUUGAAUUCCCACCAAUUGUCCACAUUACAAAUCAGGAAACGGGUCAGACAAGGUCAGUAACUUCCUCGGGAUCACACAGCCAGUACAUGUAGAUAUCAGAGUUGAAUGUGGACCCCAAGUGAUCUCACUGCAAAGCUGAAUUCUAGCUCCGGCAUUCCACCUCCCUCCACUCUCUCCCACGUAG